AUUGAACGCUGGCGGAAUGCUUUACACAUGCAAGUCGAACGGCAGCACGGACUUCGGUCUGGUGGCGAGUGGCGAACGGGUGAGUAAUACAUCGGAACGUGCCAAGUCGUGGGGGAUAACGUAGCGAAAGCUACGCUAAUACCGCAUACGAUCUAAGGAUGAAAGAGGGGGAUCGCAAGACCUCGCGCGAUUGGAGCGGCCGAUGGCAGAUUAGGUAGUUGGUAGGGUAAAGGCCUACCAAGCCGACGAUCUGUAGCAGGUCUGAGAGGAUGAUCAGCCACACUGGGACUGAGACACGCCCCAGACUCCUACGGGAGGCAGCAGUGGGGAAUUUUGGACAAUGGGCGCAAGCCUGAUCCAGCCAUUCCGCGUGCAGGAUGAAGGCCUUCGGGUUGUAAACUGCUUUUGUACAGAACGAAAAGGCUCUGGUUAAUACCCGGGGCUCAUGACGGUACUGUAAGAAUAAGCACCGGCUAACUACGUGCCAGCAGCCGCCGUAA
RNAcentral lists this ribosomal RNA (500 nucleotides) under uncultured bacterium. RNAcentral describes it as "partial 16S ribosomal RNA". It matches the Rfam family "Bacterial small subunit ribosomal RNA", at positions 30 to 523 of the family's 1533-position model. The record is from RNAcentral.